This 427-nucleotide ribosomal RNA is filed under the name uncultured bacterium. RNAcentral's name for it is "bacterial SSU rRNA". It matches the Rfam family "Bacterial small subunit ribosomal RNA", at positions 355 to 774 of the family's 1533-position model. The record is from RNAcentral.
UGGGGAAUUUUGGACAAUGGACGCAAGUCUGAUCCAGCCAUGCCGCGUGCGGGAAGAAGGCCUUCGGGUUGUAAACCGCUUUUGUCAGGGAAGAAACGAGUUUCUCUAAUACAGAGACUUAAUGACGGUACCUGAAGAAUAAGCACCGGCUAACUACGUGCCAGCAGCCGCGGUAAUACGUAGGGUGCAAGCGUUAAUCGGAAUUACUGGGCGUAAAGCGUGCGCAGGCGGUUAUGCAAGACAGAUGUGAAAUCCCCGGGCUCAACCUGGGACCUGCAUUUGUGACUGCAUAGCUAGAGUACGGCAGAGGGGGAUGGAAUUCCGCGUGUAGCAGUGAAAUGCGUAGAUAUGCGGAGGAACACCGAUGGCGAAGGCAAUCCCCUGGGCCUGUACUGACGCCCAUGCACGAAAGCGUGGGGAGCAAACA